UCGGCUCACUGCAGCCCCCGCCUCCUGGGUUCAAGCGAUUAUCCCGCAUCAGCCUCCCGAGUAGCUGGGGUUACAGACGUGCGCCACCAUGCCCGGCCCGUGGUGACUGUUUUUUGACAAACGUGCCAAUGUAAUUGAGAGAGGAAAUGAAGGUUGAUUUUUGGUUUUCUGAAAAAAUGGUGCUAAGAACAGCUGGAUAUCUAUUUGGAAAACAGUGAAUCUUAACUCUUGCUUUGCUCUAUAUAAACCUAAAUGUAAAAGCUAAACUAAAAGUUACGGAAAGAAACAUGGGGGAGGGGUAGGCAAAGAGUUCUUAGUGUGGAUACACAAGGCAUCAGCCAUGAAGAAAACCAUUGAAAUUUGGAUUUCACCAAAAUUUAAAGCUUCAACCCUUUAGAAGACUUGAGAAAAUUAAAGAGCGGUUAUAGAAAGGGAAAAAUGCUCUGUUUUUCAGAGGACUUAAAAAGCAUUUUUCAGUCCUCCUCUGAUUUUAAAGGACCUUUGACCAGAGUAUGUAAAAUUCUCUCAUAACUAAGCAAAAAACCCAGUUAACCAGUGGGAAAGGAUCUGCAAAGACGUGUCAUCAAGAUGGAUGGAAUGGCCAGUUGAGCACAUGGAAAGACGCCCAGCAUCUCCAGUCACAGGAGAAGGCAGAUUAAAGCCACGGGGAGCUGGCACUGCAGUCCCACUGGCCUGGCUGAAAUUCAGCAGCCUGAGUGUGGCACGAGGUGGUGGAACAGCUGGAUCUCAUCCAUUGCUGCGGAGCUGUGAAGCUGUGUAGCCGCUGCACAAACACGUGUGGCGAACAGCCGAACCAGGAGAAGGGAAGAUGUGUUCAAAGACUUGUGUGUGACCAGGCUCAGUGGCUCACACCUGUAAUCCAAGAACUUUAGGGGCCAAGGCUCAGGGAUCGCUUAUGCCCAGGAGUUUGAGACCAGCCUGGGCAACACAGGGAGACCCCAUCUCAAAAAAAAAGAAAAAAGGAAAAAAAAGACUUCAAUGUGCAAGUUUACCAGAGCUUUGUUUACAGUUGCCAGAACUGGGAAGCAGCCCACGUGAGUCCAUCCACUGAGCCGCAGAGCACACAGCAUUGACCUGAAGGGGACAGUCGUGAUCUUUGACGAAGCUCACAAUGUGGAGAAGAUGUGUGAAGAAUCAGCGUCCUUUGACCUGACCCCCCAUGACCUGGCUUCAGGACUGGACGUCAUAGACCAGGUGCUGGAGGAGCAGACCAAGACUGCGCAGCAGGGCGAGCCCCACCCGGAGUUCAGCACGGACUCCCCUAGCCCAGGUGCGUUCAUAGACGGGCCGCUCAGUCCUGAGGCCUGCGCUGCUGCAGGGGGCAGCCUGCCCUGUGGCUGUGUGUGGUCGGCCUGGGCACUAUCUGUUCAGGCUGGCACUGCAGGGCACCCACUUCUCUCAGAGGCUUCUCGGGUGUGAAUUGUUUGGGGUCCUGUAGGCUGUGGAAGGGCUGGUAUCAUUCAGUAGUUCUGGUACUUUCCGAAGACCUAUGUCUUCUCCCAGCCAGUGUCAACUUGGCCUCUACUGUGUGAAAUUAGAAAACUAUGCUUUGUGAAGCUGAGAUGGGAGCAUCGCUUGAGGCCAGGAGUUCGAG
Molecule: long non-coding RNA, 1615 nt
Organism: Piliocolobus tephrosceles (Ugandan red Colobus)
Lineage: Eukaryota; Metazoa; Chordata; Mammalia; Primates; Cercopithecidae
Exons: 3
Source: RefSeq, a predicted model, not a curated record